RNAcentral lists this long non-coding RNA (16037 nucleotides) under Coffea arabica (coffee). RNAcentral describes it as "long non-coding RNA (CARA_LNC000840)". The stretch from base 6846 to 6973 matches the Rfam family "Bacterial large subunit ribosomal RNA", at positions 724 to 839 of the family's 2925-position model. The record is from RNAcentral. Lineage: Eukaryota; Viridiplantae; Streptophyta; Magnoliopsida; Gentianales; Rubiaceae.
GCAUUUUCCUAGAAUCUUGUUAGAACAAAGCCUUCAGUGAAGGUUUGAAGACGCUCACCCGAAACUCGGUGAGCUAACCAUAAGCGGGUUAAAUUUAGGGUAAUACCUAGUGGAGGACCGAACCCUUUCUUUAUAUAAAGUAAAGGAUUGCUUUGUUGGAUGACUUGUGGUUAGGAGUGAAAAGCUUAUCGAACUCUCCUAAUUAGGACUAGCGCAAGAGUUAUAAUAAGUGGGGAUAGAGCACUGAAUAGAGAAGGGUUCCUAACCGGGUACCACCUCUAAUCAAACUCCGAAUACCCCUUUCAGUGUCGCGAGGGAAACCUCCUUUAUAUUGCUUCUCCUUAUAGUAGCCCAAAUAGGCCUUACCUUAACCGAUAUUCUAUGAAGCAAGCAUCAUUUACAAGCUGCACAAUCUACUCGAUCAUUCCCGGUUACCCACGACAAGCGCUGUCAGGCCCACCUUCUUAGCUACCUUAGCCCAGUUCUUUAUCCUUAAAGUGGAACCCCGGAAAGUUUAUCCGCCAAUGGAAUCAGUAGCUACCAAUAACUGUUCUUUCUCCUUCCUACUACCAGAAAGUGAUUAAAGGCCUUCAUAAGCUUCUCUUUGAAGAGAAGUCUUUGCCUUAGAGUCUCGAUAUGAGAAAGAAGAGGAAGAAUCAUAAAUAAAAGGGGGAUGAUCCCCUCCGGCCUGCCCUGCCGGUUGAUUCAGUUGAAAAAGCCUUUCAUUUGCAAGAUGAAGCACCAGACCUAUAUAUAGCUGCUUUUAGGCCCCACGCAAAAGUAAUUAAUCUCCUGCCGCGGAAGAAUAAGAAGAAUCUCUUGCAUUGGACGAAGUGGAUACAGAUGGGUGCACUGACAUGGGAAAAGGUCUGUCAGCUUAAGUCAAGAAGGCUUUGUUCCUCCCUUCUUCCUUUCCUUGGGCUAUAAAUUGGUUGUGCUAAAAGAAAUCCCCCUACUCGCCGAAGGAAGAGGCAUCUCAUGCCAUGGUUCUUGUUCAAGAAUAGGCAGUUAUUUCAUCUGCUGGUAUAGAAUAGGUUGUUAGUGGGAUUUUCGAGUGCUAUUAUCGUAUAAUAAAAGAAAGCAAAGGAACGCACGGCUUUGCCGGUGAGCUUAUAAAAAUCUCCCCUUGAAGACGCGAACGGCUUAGCAUCUUAAUUUCAUACUCUCUUUACGAACGGUGUUAGCUCCGAAAUCAGAUCCUCUUCCGACUUCGACUUCCGGGAUUUAUCCUUGUGAGCUUUCAACUGAAAGACAGGAAAGCCCUUAGAAUAAGGUAAGCGACUUGCCUUACCUAUACCAGUAUCAAGAAUCGGAAUUCAUCUCGGAAGGAUGGAAAUCUUAUCCGUUUUGGUCUAAUGUGGAAGUGUUACGAUUUAGUCUAAGAAAUGGGCUUGGACUAUCGUCCUGAAGUGUUGCCUUCCUUUGAGCCCCUUUUAGGGGGUUAUCUUCUUGACGGGUAUACUGGCACAGACUUCUUAGUCUCUUUACAGGGUUUGGAUGACCCUGUGAGGGAGGGGUCGUUGUCUAAAAAGCAACGUACUCUAGAUCGGCCAUCUACAUAAGGUAAGGUAGCGUAUAGCUUAGCUAAUAGCUUCGCUACCUCACUCACGAGCUCUUUCUCAGCCCAAGGUGCUGGGUAUUUAUCCUAACGAGUGCAUUCAGUUUCAUGUCCCAUUGAAAGGACAAUCGGCGAGAUUGAAGUUCCUUUCUUUUUUCUAGGCUAAACCUUCCCUAAGCCUAAUCCCUAAUCAAGCAAAGUUUUUGUCAGGAAAGUGUUCGAGGCGGAUUCCAUAGCAACAGAGUCGUGAAAAGAGCUAAAAGCAGCCUUUCUAAAUAAAUAGUAAAACACGCAUGGAUGCUAGGAAUGAAGCCUGCCAAUGUCCCUUACAAGAAUAUCAUUAGUAGAAGAGGAUACCCACAUCUACGGCCAUUAGUUCGAUUCCCGGUUAUCUUUCUUCUAGCUUUUAGUUCUUCCUUUAAAUAAAGAUGUCCUACGUCCCCCUGUUAGUUUUGGUCCUGCCCCGUACUCAUCAAUCGCUUUGUCGGAACUCUUCCCUUACUUCAUCUCGCUUCGAUAGUAUGGCAUUCUUUAGUAACAAGCUGUAGUAACAAGAGUCACAAGGCUUGUUCAAAGAAAAACCACGUCCAGCGUGAAGAAAAAGAUUAGAAUAUAGUGCAAUCAAAGCAUGUUUAUCAUGGCACAAACCCUCUUCUAAAGAAAGAGAGGGAAGGCCAUGAAAGUCUUGCAUCUCACAUCACGUGGAAAGAAAGGAUGCUGACAAAGCUUGCUGCAAAGGAGGCUGCUGUUGAAGCGCUCAUCUUCUCGUACAUUGAAGUAACCAAUUCAGGUACUUCACGCAGCUGGUCAAUGUUGGCUCGUUCUGCCUCCGGUCUAUGGUCCAUCGAUCGAAGGGAUAUGAGUUCAGUUAGUAAUCCGUUUACGUACGGUGGGUGGGUAAGCUGGAGGGGACCCCGGUGGUAAGAAUAGGCUAAUUCCUGUUCCUUGAAUAGGCCAAAUGGGAGUCUCAAAGCUAAGAACUACCUGUUUCAGGCGUUAGAUCGUUCCAUUUUGGAGACUAUCGUCAACAAAGACACGUCAAAGAGUAUUUAGGACUCUAUGAAGCAGAAAUAUCAAGGAACAACGCGAGUAAAGCGUGCUCAUCUACAGGCAUUGCGAAAGGAGUAUGAAAUUGCUCACAUGAAGGAAGGAGAAUCUGUGAAUGAGUACAUUGCUCGUGUUCUUGUCAUCACCAACAAGAUGAAAGCCAAUGGUGAAGAAUUGAAAGAUGUUGCUGUUGUGGAAAAGAUUCUGAGGUCAAUGACACCUAAGUUCAAUUAUGUCGUCUGUUCAAUAGAAGAAUCUAAUGAUACAAGAAUUUUGUCAAUUGAUGAGCUGCAAAGCAGUUUGCUCGUGCACGAACAACGCAUGAGUAACACUAUACAUGAAGAACGUGCACUGAAGGUGACCCAUGGAAACCAAUAUGCAGGACAAGGAAGAGGACGUGGGAACAUGGAGUGCAAAGACAAACAGGAAAGAGUAUUGCAGAGGAAAGAAAGAAGGUGGAAGGAAUUCUCUGUCUAUUGAAUGAGAAAUAUUUAGGCUAUAUAUAGCCGUACAAAACAAACAGAAAAUACAAUAAAUAAGGAGUCUCCUGCUAACUAACUCCUAAACCGAAAGACCUAUUCUAAAGCAAAGAAUCCCAAAUGGAAUGGGAUUUUAUUUGACUAAAUCUAACAAUUCCUCUCUUAAACUAAAUGCUGAAAGAAUUUAGUUUAUACUGCUCUCUGCACAAACUCCAAGCAUAGUACGCAGCUUCAGAAAAGCAUCCAACUUAAGAGGCUUUGUCAUCACAUCAGCUAUCUGUUCCAAAGUAUUGCAAUGAACUAAUUCUAUCAUACCUAUCUGUGCAAGUUCUCGAAGGAAAUGGAAACGAACAUCUAUAUGCUUGCUACGACCAUGCAUAACUGGGUUUCUUGAGAGCUCGAUUGCAGAGCUAUUGUCACAAUGGAUAGUAUUUUUCUCUUGUUGAGUCUGAUCCAGCGUUUUGAGCACUCUUUUUAACCAAAUUGCUUGACAAGCACAAGCAGUAGCAGCAAUAAACUCAGCUUCGGUGGUAGACAGACUCACAAUAGGUUGUUUCUUAGAAGACCAUGAUACAGCUCCAGAACCAAAGAGAAAAACAUAGCCUGAUGUACUUCUUCUAUCAUCCAAGUCACCCGCAUAAUCACUAUCAGUGUAUGCUAUAAGAUCAUCAUUUCCUCCCUUCUUAUAGAAAAUUCCAUACUCAGUUGUUCCUUGCAAAUAUCUCAACACUCUCUUUGCUAGUUGUAAAUGAAGCUGAGUAGGAUUCUCCAUAUAUCUGCUCAAAAGACUUACUGCAAACAUCACAUCUGGACGAGUCGCAGUCAGAUACAUAAGACAGCCUACCAGUUGUUUGAAGUGAGUCUUGUCCACCUUAAUUCCUUCUUCAUCCUUGCAAAGCUUGAAACCAGGAACCAUGGGAGUUUGAACAGAUUUGCUUUGAUUCAUUUCAAAACGUUGCAACACCUCCUGAGCAUACUUUCUUUGACCGAUAAAAAUUCCACCUGAUUUCUGCAAGACUUCGAGACCCAAAAAAUAUUUCAUUUUACCAAGAUCAGUCAUAUCAAACUCAUUCUUCAUCGAGUUCUUAAACUCAGUGAACAUCAACUCAUCAUUUCCUGUGAAAAGAAGAUCGUCAACAUAUAUACUUACAAUAAGCAUGCUGCCUCCAUGUUUCGUUUAACAAAAAGGGUAUGCUCAUAAUCACAUUUUUGAAAACCUUCCUUCAUGAAGUAUGUUUCAAUACGGUUGUACCAAGCACGCGGAGCCUGUUUAAGCCCAUACAGAGCUUUCUUCAGCUUGUACACCUUUUCCUUCUUUCCCUCUUGAAUGUAACCACACGGCUGCUCAACAAAAACAUCUUCAACUAGUUCUCCAUGUAAAAAAGCAGACUUCACAUCUAAUUGAUGGAUAGCCCACCCUUUUUGUGCUGCUAGAGCGAUCACCAAACGAACAGUCUCCAUACGGGCCACUGGAGCAAACACUUCUGUGUAAUCUACACCAUAUCGCUGUGCAUAUCCUUUUACAACCAGCCUCGUCUUCAGGAUGAAAGAAGCAGCCGUAGCAUGAAAGAAAAAAGAAGUAGGGAGCGGGUGCUGGAUUCAUUUUGAUCAGUCCGGAUGGGCACGAGCUCACCUAUGCACUCCGUUUUGAGUUCAAAGCCUCAAACAACGAAGCGGAGUAUGAAGCGCUCAUUGCCGGACUGAAAUUGGCCUUGAAAAUGGGGGUAACCAAGUUACGGGCUUACAGUGACUCUCAGCUCGUAGUAAAUCAAGUAAUGGGGGGCUACGCAGCAAAAGACCUCAUGAUGAAAAGGUACCUCCAAAAAGUUCAAGAUUUGAUGGCUGAGUUUGAAGAAUUUACCAUAGACCGCAUUCCCCGAUCUCAGAAUAAAAGGGCAGACGCCCUGAGCAAGCUAGCCUCCUCUGCCUACGCACACUUGACAAGGAAAGUUUUGGUGAAAGUUCUGGCAGGGCGGAGUAUUAUUGAUGAACAUCAUGUUAACAUAAUUUCAUAAGAAGAAAAGAACUGGAUGAACCUCUUUAUUGAGUAUCUCAGUUCGGGUAAGUUGCCUGAGGCAAGGAAAAUGAAAAUCAAAGCUCCUAUGUACGUGCUGAAAAAUGGUGUUUUGUACAAGAAAUCUUAUCUCAUGCCUUGGCUAAGGUGUGUUGGGCUGAGGCUGGCAGAAUACGUGUUGAAAGAAAUUCACUUCGGCUCCUGCGGAGACCAUGUUGGAGCACGCAUGUUAGCAAAGAAGGCUAUUCGGCUUGGGUAUUACAGGCCGACCAUGUACAGAGAUGCGUAUGAGCUGGUGUUAAAAUGUGAAAAGUGCCAAGUGCAUGCACCCAUCAAGCAUGUGCCGCAAAUGGAGCUGAUUACUAUUCAAAGUGUCGGGUCGGGUCUCAGGUUCAAAAGCAGAAGACUGGUCGUAGGGACAAAGCUUCUACUUAAACAUCAAGUCGGUCUUGAUAUGAAGGGGAUAUAUCUAUGCUCAGGUGAUCCAUCAAAUCGGCCAGUGUUUUCCCUUUUACUUCCUUUCGGGGUACGUAUUGUAUAGAAAAAAAGUACCAACGUCCACUUUCCUACUCACCCUUUGGUCUGGACAACAUGUACUUAAUUAUUUCUGAACUAGAGACCAAGUAAACGUAAAGGCUGUGAAGGGAAUGGAUAGGCAUAGGUCAGAUUAGAUGUCUUGGCUACAUAUGGGAAAGGAACUGGGUAUGGGUGCUAUUGCUGAGUCUGAUAUACUGGUGCUCUUUGGCUUGGUUGGAUUGAUUGAGGCUUACUGCUUGAAAUGGGACGAGGCCUUCUUCUAGCCUGUCUAUCGUGAUUGACCUACUGCACCUCUCCUUCUCUCUUAUUCCCAUAAGUGGACUUCUUGGAGGCUUCUGUCGAGCUAUCAGCAAUUUGACUGCUCUUCACACCUUGCUCAAUCUUCUCUUCUCUCCGAUCAUCACAAGGGCAGCAAAAUGUGUGGAAAGAUUGCCAACCAUGCGAUCGUAGAAAGGAGAAGGGAGAGUAGUGAGAAAGGUGGCCACCAUCUCUUUUUCAGUCAAGGGAGGCAGGACUUGGGCAGCCAUUUCUAUCCAUCCUUGGGCAUCUUCUUUUAAAAUCUCCGUGCUCUUCUUCUCCAUGCUUUGAAGCCCCAUGCCAUCAGGAGCCGUAUCAAGAUUGUACUUGUACUGCUUGAGGUGAGGAAAGCAUCAGCAAGAUGCUUCCAUUUGCGGACAUGAGAGCGGUCCUGCUCCAUCUACCAUUUGGACGCAACGCCCGUGAGGCUGUCUUUUAUAAUAGAUACUUCAGCGGGUCCAUCCUUGCAAUCAGCAUGGUCGUAUAGUUCAACAUGUAGUGGUAUAGGCCUUUCGAGGCCCAUGUAAGAGCUAAACAGGUAUUUUCUAGAACCUUAUACCUUGCCUCAUAAUCAGUGAACUUCUUGUUGAGAUAGUAUAUGGCUCUUUCUUUCCUACCCGUUUCAUCGUGCUGACCAAGGGCACAACUCAUGGAUGCUUCCUUCACUGACAGAUACAUCAGGAGAGGUCGACCAGGCGUUAGCGGAUGGGAGGAUUGACAGUUAUGCUCAAGUCUUUCAUUAAGAUGUACCGCUAGGGAACUCUUUACCUUUUGAUAUAAGAGAAGACGCUUUCGGGCUAACUAAGGCCGAGGUGUCUCGCGGAAUCUUCAAUAAGGCGAUAGAAGGCAUUUUCCUAGAAUCUUGUUAGAACAAAGCCUUCAGUGAAGGUUUGAAGACGCUCACCCGAAACUCGGUGAGCUAACCAUAAGCGGGUUAAAUUUAGGGUAAUACCUAGUGGAGGACCGAACCCUUUCUUUAUAUAAAGUAAAGGAUUGCUUUGUUGGAUGACUUGUGGUUAGGAGUGAAAAGCUUAUCGAACUCUCCUAAUUAGGACUAGCGCAAGAGUUAUAAUAAGUGGGGAUAGAGCACUGAAUAGAGAAGGGUUCCUAACCGGGUACCACCUCUAAUCAAACUCCGAAUACCCCUUUCAGUGUCGCGAGGGAAACCUCCUUUAUAUUGCUUCUCCUUAUAGUAGCCCAAAUAGGCCUUACCUUAACCGAUAUUCUAUGAAGCAAGCAUCAUUUACAAGCUGCACAAUCUACUCGAUCAUUCCCGGUUACCCACGACAAGCGCUGUCAGGCCCACCUUCUUAGCUACCUUAGCCCAGUUCUUUAUCCUUAAAGUGGAACCCCGGAAAGUUUAUCCGCCAAUGGAAUCAGUAGCUACCAAUAACUGUUCUUUCUCCUUCCUACUACCAGAAAGUGAUUAAAGGCCUUCAUAAGCUUCUCUUUGAAGAGAAGUCUUUGCCUUAGAGUCUCGAUAUGAGAAAGAAGAGGAAGAAUCAUAAAUAAAAGGGGGAUGAUCCCCUCCAGCCUGCCCUGCCGGUUGAUUCAGUUGAAAAAGCCUUUCAUUUGCAAGAUGAAGCACCAGACCUAUAUAUAGCUGCUUUUAGGCCCCACGCAAAAGUAAUUAAUCUCCUGCCGCGGAAGAAUAAGAAGAAUCUCUUGCAUUGGACGAAGUGGAUACAGAUGGGUGCACUGACAUGGGAAAAGGUCUGUCAGCUUAAGUCAAGAAGGCUUUGUUCCUCCCUUCUUCCUUUCCUUGGGCUAUAAAUUGGUUGUGCUAAAAGAAAUCCCCCUACUCGCCGAAGGAAGAGGCAUCUCAUGCCAUGGUUCUUGUUCAAGAAUAAGCAGUUAUUUCAUCUGCUGGUAUAGAAUAGGUUGUUAGUGGGAUUUUCGAGUGCUAUUAUCGUAUAAUAAAAGAAAGCAAAGGAACGCACGGCUUUGCCGGUGAGCUUAUAAAAAUCUCCCCUUGAAGACGCGAACGGCUUAGCAUCUUAAUUUCAUACUCUCUUUACGAACGGUGUUAGCUCCGAAAUCAGAUCCUCUUCCGACUUCGACUUCCGGGAUUUAUCCUUGUGAGCUUUCAACUGAAAGACAGGAAAGCCCUUAGAAUAAGGUAAGCGACUUGCCUUACCUAUACCAGUAUCAAGAAUCGGAAUUCAUCUCGGAAGGAUGGAAAUCUUAUCCGUUUUGGUCUAAUGUGGAAGUGUUACGAUUUAGUCUAAGAAAUGGGCUUGGACUAUCGUCCUGAAGUGUUGCCUUCCUUUGAGCCCCUUUUAGGGGGUUAUCUUCUUGACGGGUAUACUGGCACAGACUUCUUAGUCUCUUUACAGGGUUUGGAUGACCCUGUGAGGGAGGGGUCGUUGUCUAAAAAGCAACGUACUCUAGAUCGGCCAUCUACAUAAGGUAAGGUAGCGUAUAGCUUAGCUAAUAGCUUCGCUACCUCACUCACGAGCUCUUUCUCAGCCCAAGGUGCUGGGUAUUUAUCCUAACGAGUGCAUUCAGUUUCAUGUCCCAUUGAAAGGACAAUCGGCGAGAUUGAAGUUCCUUUCUUUUUUCUAGGCUAAACCUUCCCUAAGCCUAAUCCCUAAUCAAGCAAAGUUUUUGUCAGGAAAGUGUUCGAGGCGGAUUCCAUAGCAACAGAGUCGUGAAAAGAGCUAAAAGCAGCCUUUCUAAAUAAAUAGUAAAACACGCAUGGAUGCUAGGAAUGAAGCCUGCCAAUGUCCCUUACAAGAAUAUCAUUAGUAGAAGAGGAUACCCACAUCUACGGCCAUUAGUUCGAUUCCCGGUUAUCUUUCUUCUAGCUUUUAGUUCUUCCUUUAAAUAAAGAUGUCCUACGUCCCCCUGUUAGUUUUGGUCCUGCCCCGUACUCAUCAAUCGCUUUGUCGGAACUCUUCCCUUACUUCAUCUCGCUUCGAUAGUAUGGCAUUCUUUAGUAACAAGCUGUAGUAACAAGAGUCACAAGGCUUGUUCAAAGAAAAACCACGUCCAGCGUGAAGAAAAAGAUUAGAAUAUAGUGCAAUCAAAGCAUGUUUAUCAUGGCACAAACCCUCUUCUAAAGAAAGAGAGGGAAGGCCAUGAAAGUCUUGCAUCUCACAUCACGUGGAAAGAAAGGAUGCUGACAAAGCUUGCUGCAAAGGAGGCUGCUGUUGAAGCGCUCAUCUUCUCGUACAUUGAAGUAACCAAUUCAGGUACUUCACGCAGCUGGUCAAUGUUGGCUCGUUCUGCCUCCGGUCUAUGGUCCAUCGAUCGAAGGGAUAUGAGUUCAGUUAGUAAUCCGUUUACGUACGGUGGGUGGGUAAGCUGGAGGGGACCCCGGUGGUAAGAAUAGGCUAAUUCCUGUUCCUUGAAUAGGCCAAAUGGGAGUCUCAAAGCUAAGAACUACCUGUUUCAGGCGUUAGAUCGUUCCAUUUUGGAGACUAUCGUCAACAAAGACACGUCAAAGAGUAUUUAGGACUCUAUGAAGCAGAAAUAUCAAGGAACAACGCGAGUAAAGCGUGCUCAUCUACAGGCAUUGCGAAAGGAGUAUGAAAUUGCUCACAUGAAGGAAGGAGAAUCUGUGAAUGAGUACAUUGCUCGUGUUCUUGUCAUCACCAACAAGAUGAAAGCCAAUGGUGAAGAAUUGAAAGAUGUUGCUGUUGUGGAAAAGAUUCUGAGGUCAAUGACACCUAAGUUCAAUUAUGUCGUCUGUUCAAUAGAAGAAUCUAAUGAUACAAGAAUUUUGUCAAUUGAUGAGCUGCAAAGCAGUUUGCUCGUGCACGAACAACGCAUGAGUAACACUAUACAUGAAGAACGUGCACUGAAGGUGACCCAUGGAAACCAAUAUGCAGGACAAGGAAGAGGACGUGGGAACAUGGAGUGCAAAGACAAACAGGAAAGAGUAUUGCAGAGGAAAGAAAGAAGGUGGAAGGAAUUCUCUGUCUAUUGAAUGAGAAAUAUUUAGGCUAUAUAUAGCCGUACAAAACAAACAGAAAAUACAAUAAAUAAGGAGUCUCCUGCUAACUAACUCCUAAACCGAAAGACCUAUUCUAAAGCAAAGAAUCCCAAAUGGAAUGGGAUUUUAUUUGACUAAAUCUAACAAUUCCUCUCUUAAACUAAAUGCUGAAAGAAUUUAGUUUAUACUGCUCUCUGCACAAACUCCAAGCAUAGUACGCAGCUUCAGAAAAGCAUCCAACUUAAGAGGCUUUGUCAUCACAUCAGCUAUCUGUUCCAAAGUAUUGCAAUGAACUAAUUCUAUCAUACCUAUCUGUGCAAGUUCUCGAAGGAAAUGGAAACGAACAUCUAUAUGCUUGCUACGACCAUGCAUAACUGGGUUUCUUGAGAGCUCGAUUGCAGAGCUAUUGUCACAAUGGAUAGUAUUUUUCUCUUGUUGAGUCUGAUCCAGCGUUUUGAGCACUCUUUUUAACCAAAUUGCUUGACAAGCACAAGCAGUAGCAGCAAUAAACUCAGCUUCGGUGGUAGACAGACUCACAAUAGGUUGUUUCUUAGAAGACCAUGAUACAGCUCCAGAACCAAAGAGAAAAACAUAGCCUGAUGUACUUCUUCUAUCAUCCAAGUCACCCGCAUAAUCACUAUCAGUGUAUGCUAUAAGAUCAUCAUUUCCUCCCUUCUUAUAGAAAAUUCCAUACUCAGUUGUUCCUUGCAAAUAUCUCAACACUCUCUUUGCUAGUUGUAAAUGAAGCUGAGUAGGAUUCUCCAUAUAUCUGCUCAAAAGACUUACUGCAAACAUCACAUCUGGACGAGUCGCAGUCAGAUACAUAAGACAGCCUACCAGUUGUUUGAAGUGAGUCUUGUCCACCUUAAUUCCUUCUUCAUCCUUGCAAAGCUUGAAACCAGGAACCAUGGGAGUUUGAACAGAUUUGCUUUGAUUCAUUUCAAAACGUUGCAACACCUCCUGAGCAUACUUUCUUUGACCGAUAAAAAUUCCACCUGAUUUCUGCAAGACUUCGAGACCCAAAAAAUAUUUCAUUUUACCAAGAUCAGUCAUAUCAAACUCAUUCUUCAUCGAGUUCUUAAACUCAGUGAACAUCAACUCAUCAUUUCCUGUGAAAAGAAGAUCGUCAACAUAUAUACUUACAAUAAGCAUGCUGCCUCCAUGUUUCGUUUAACAAAAAGGGUAUGCUCAUAAUCACAUUUUUGAAAACCUUCCUUCAUGAAGUAUGUUUCAAUACGGUUGUACCAAGCACGCGGAGCCUGUUUAAGCCCAUACAGAGCUUUCUUCAGCUUGUACACCUUUUCCUUCUUUCCCUCUUGAAUGUAACCACACGGCUGCUCAACAAAAACAUCUUCAACUAGUUCUCCAUGUAAAAAAGCAGACUUCACAUCUAAUUGAUGGAUAGCCCACCCUUUUUGUGCUGCUAGAGCGAUCACCAAACGAACAGUCUCCAUACGGGCCACUGGAGCAAACACUUCUGUGUAAUCUACACCAUAUCGCUGUGCAUAUCCUUUUACAACCAGCCUCGUCUUCAGGAUGAAAGAAGCAGCCGUAGCAUGAAAGAAAAAAGAAGUAGGGAGCGGGUGCUGGAUUCAUUUUGAUCAGUCCGGAUGGGCACGAGCUCACCUAUGCACUCCGUUUUGAGUUCAAAGCCUCAAACAACGAAGCGGAGUAUGAAGCGCUCAUUGCCGGACUGAAAUUGGCCUUGAAAAUGGGGGUAACCAAGUUACGGGCUUACAGUGACUCUCAGCUCGUAGUAAAUCAAGUAAUGGGGGGCUACGCAGCAAAAGACCUCAUGAUGAAAAGGUACCUCCAAAAAGUUCAAGAUUUGAUGGCUGAGUUUGAAGAAUUUACCAUAGACCGCAUUCCCCGAUCUCAGAAUAAAAGGGCAGACGCCCUGAGCAAGCUAGCCUCCUCUGCCUACGCACACUUGACAAGGAAAGUUUUGGUGAAAGUUCUGGCAGGGCGGAGUAUUAUUGAUGAACAUCAUGUUAACAUAAUUUCAUAAGAAGAAAAGAACUGGAUGAACCUCUUUAUUGAGUAUCUCAGUUCGGGUAAGUUGCCUGAGGCAAGGAAAAUGAAAAUCAAAGCUCCUAUGUACGUGCUGAAAAAUGGUGUUUUGUACAAGAAAUCUUAUCUCAUGCCUUGGCUAAGGUGUGUUGGGCUGAGGCUGGCAGAAUACGUGUUGAAAGAAAUUCACUUCGGCUCCUGCGGAGACCAUGUUGGAGCACGCAUGUUAGCAAAGAAGGCUAUUCGGCUUGGGUAUUACAGGCCGACCAUGUACAGAGAUGCGUAUGAGCUGGUGUUAAAAUGUGAAAAGUGCCAAGUGCAUGCACCCAUCAAGCAUGUGCCGCAAAUGGAGCUGAUUACUAUUCAAAGUGUCGGGUCGGGUCUCAGGUUCAAAAGCAGAAGACUGGUCGUAGGGACAAAGCUUCUACUUAAACAUCAAGUCGGUCUUGAUAUGAAGGGGAUAUAUCUAUGCUCAGGUGAUCCAUCAAAUCGGCCAGUGUUUUCCCUUUUACUUCCUUUCGGGGUACGUAUUGUAUAGAAAAAAAGUACCAACGUCCACUUUCCUACUCACCCUUUGGUCUGGACAACAUGUACUUAAUUAUUUCUGAACUAGAGACCAAGUAAACGUAAAGGCUGUGAAGGGAAUGGAUAGGCAUAGGUCAGAUUAGAUGUCUUGGCUACAUAUGGGAAAGGAACUGGGUAUGGGUGCUAUUGCUGAGUCUGAUAUACUGGUGCUCUUUGGCUUGGUUGGAUUGAUUGAGGCUUACUGCUUGAAAUGGGACGAGGCCUUCUUCUAGCCUGUCUAUCGUGAUUGACCUACUGCACCUCUCCUUCUCUCUUAUUCCCAUAAGUGGACUUCUUGGAGGCUUCUGUCGAGCUAUCAGCAAUUUGACUGCUCUUCACACCUUGCUCAAUCUUCUCUUCUCUCCGAUCAUCACAAGGGCAGCAAAAUGUGUGGAAAGAUUGCCAACCAUGCGAUCGUAGAAAGGAGAAGGGAGAGUAGUGAGAAAGGUGGCCACCAUCUCUUUUUCAGUCAAGGGAGGCAGGACUUGGGCAGCCAUUUCUAUCCAUCCUUGGGCAUCUUCUUUUAAAAUCUCCGUGCUCUUCUUCUCCAUGCUUUGAAGCCCCAUGCCAUCAGGAGCCGUAUCAAGAUUGUACUUGUACUGCUUGAGGUGAGGAAAGCAUCAGCAAGAUGCUUCCAUUUGCGGACAUGAGAGCGGUCCUGCUCCAUCUACCAUUUGGACGCAACGCCCGUGAGGCUGUCUUUUAUAAUAGAUACUUCAGCGGGUCCAUCCUUGCAAUCAGCAUGGUCGUAUAGUUCAACAUGUAGUGGUAUAGGCCUUUCGAGGCCCAUGUAAGAGCUAAACAGGUAUUUUCUAGAACCUUAUACCUUGCCUCAUAAUCAGUGAACUUCUUGUUGAGAUAGUAUAUGGCUCUUUCUUUCCUACCCGUUUCAUCGUGCUGACCAAGGGCACAACUCAUGGAUGCUUCCUUCACUGACAGAUACAUCAGGAGAGGUCGACCAGGCGUUAGCGGAUGGGAGGAUUGACAGUUAUGCUCAAGUCUUUCAUUAAGAUGUACCGCUAGGGAACUCUUUACCUUUUGAUAUAAGAGAAGACGCUUUCGGGCUAACUAAGGCCGAGGUGUCUCGCGGAAUCUUCAAUAAGGCGAUAGAAGGCAUUUUCCUAGAAUCUUGUUAGAACAAAGCCUUCAGUGAAGGUUUGAAGACGCUCACCCGAAACUCGGUGAGCUAACCAUAAGCGGGUUAAAUUUAGGGUAAUACCUAGUGGAGGACCGAACCCUUUCUUUAUAUAAAGUAAAGGAUUGCUUUGUUGGAUGACUUGUGGUUAGGAGUGAAAAGCUUAUCGAACUCUCCUAAUUAGGACUAGCGCAAGAGUUAUAAUAAGUGGGGAUAGAGCACUGAAUAGAGAAGGGUUCCUAACCGGGUACCACCUCUAAUCAAACUCCGAAUACCCCUUUCAGUGUCGCGAGGGAAACCUCCUUUAUAUUGCUUCUCCUUAUAGUAGCCCAAAUAGGCCUUACCUUAACCGAUAUUCUAUGAAGCAAGCAUCAUUUACAAGCUGCACAAUCUACUCGAUCAUUCCCGGUUACCCACGACAAGCGCUGUCAGGCCCACCUUCUUAGCUACCUUAGCCCAGUUCUUUAUCCUUAAAGUGGAACCCCGGAAAGUUUAUCCGCCAAUGGAAUCAGUAGCUACCAAUAACUGUUCUUUCUCCUUCCUACUACCAGAAAGUGAUUAAAGGCCUUCAUAAGCUUCUCUUUGAAGAGAAGUCUUUGCCUUAGAGUCUCGAUAUGAGAAAGAAGAGGAAGAAUCAUAAAUAAAAGGGGGAUGAUCCCCUCCAGCCUGCCCUGCCGGUUGAUUCAGUUGAAAAAGCCUUUCAUUUGCAAGAUGAAGCACCAGACCUAUAUAUAGCUGCUUUUAGGCCCCACGCAAAAGUAAUUAAUCUCCUGCCGCGGAAGAAUAAGAAGAAUCUCUUGCAUUGGACGAAGUGGAUACAGAUGGGUGCACUGACAUGGGAAAAGGUCUGUCAGCUUAAGUCAAGAAGGCUUUGUUCCUCCCUUCUUCCUUUCCUUGGGCUAUAAAUUGGUUGUGCUAAAAGAAAUCCCCCUACUCGCCGAAGGAAGAGGCAUCUCAUGCCAUGGUUCUUGUUCAAGAAUAAGCAGUUAUUUCAUCUGCUGGUAUAGAAUAGGUUGUUAGUGGGAUUUUCGAGUGCUAUUAUCGUAUAAUAAAAGAAAGCAAAGGAACGCACGGCUUUGCCGGUGAGCUUAUAAAAAUCUCCCCUUGAAGACGCGAACGGCUUAGCAUCUUAAUUUCAUACUCUCUUUACGAACGGUGUUAGCUCCGAAAUCAGAUCCUCUUCCGACUUCGACUUCCGGGAUUUAUCCUUGUGAGCUUUCAACUGAAAGACAGGAAAGCCCUUAGAAUAAGGUAAGCGACUUGCCUUACCUAUACCAGUAUCAAGAAUCGGAAUUCAUCUCGGAAGGAUGGAAAUCUUAUCCGUUUUGGUCUAAUGUGGAAGUGUUACGAUUUAGUCUAAGAAAUGGGCUUGGACUAUCGUCCUGAAGUGUUGCCUUCCUUUGAGCCCCUUUUAGGGGGUUAUCUUCUUGACGGGUAUACUGGCACAGACUUCUUAGUCUCUUUACAGGGUUUGGAUGACCCUGUGAGGGAGGGGUCGUUGUCUAAAAAGCAACGUACUCUAGAUCGGCCAUCUACAUAAGGUAAGGUAGCGUAUAGCUUAGCUAAUAGCUUCGCUACCUCACUCACGAGCUCUUUCUCAGCCCAAGGUGCUGGGUAUUUAUCCUAACGAGUGCAUUCAGUUUCAUGUCCCAUUGAAAGGACAAUCGGCGAGAUUGAAGUUCCUUUCUUUUUUCUAGGCUAAACCUUCCCUAAGCCUAAUCCCUAAUCAAGCAAAGUUUUUGUCAGGAAAGUGUUCGAGGCGGAUUCCAUAGCAACAGAGUCGUGAAAAGAGCUAAAAGCAGCCUUUCUAAAUAAAUAGUAAAACACGCAUGGAUGCUAGGAAUGAAGCCUGCCAAUGUCCCUUACAAGAAUAUCAUUAGUAGAAGAGGAUACCCACAUCUACGGCCAUUAGUUCGAUUCCCGGUUAUCUUUCUUCUAGCUUUUAGUUCUUCCUUUAAAUAAAGAUGUCCUACGUCCCCCUGUUAGUUUUGGUCCUGCCCCGUACUCAUCAAUCGCUUUGUCGGAACUCUUCCCUUACUUCAUCUCGCUUCGAUAGUAUGGCAUUCUUUAGUAACAAGCUGUAGUAACAAGAGUCACAAGGCUUGUUCAAAGAAAAACCACGUCCAGCGUGAAGAAAAAGAUUAGAAUAUAGUGCAAUCAAAGCAUGUUUAUCAUGGCACAAACCCUCUUCUAAAGAAAGAGAGGGAAGGCCAUGAAAGUCUUGCAUCUCACAUCACGUGGAAAGAAAGGAUGCUGACAAAGCUUGCUGCAAAGGAGGCUGCUGUUGAAGCGCUCAUCUUCUCGUACAUUGAAGUAACCAAUUCAGGUACUUCACGCAGCUGGUCAAUGUUGGCUCGUUCUGCCUCCGGUCUAUGGUCCAUCGAUCGAAGGGAUAUGAGUUCAGUUAGUAAUCCGUUUACGUACGGUGGGUGGGUAAGCUGGAGGGGACCCCGGUGGUA